UAGGGAAUCUUCCGCAAUGGGCGAAAGCCUGACGGAGCAACGCCGCGUGAGUGAUGAAGGUCUUCGGAUCGUAAAACUCUGUUAUUAGGGAAGAACAAAUGUGUAAGUAACUAUGCACGUCUUGACGGUACCUAAUCAGAAAGCCACGGCUAACUACGUGCCAGCAGCCGCGGUAAUACGUAGGUGGCAAGCGUUAUCCGGAAUUAUUGGGCGUAAAGCGCGCGUAGGCGGUUUUUUAAGUCUGAUGUGAAAGUCCACGGCUCAACCGUGGAGGGUCAUUGGAAACUGGAAAACUUGAGUGCAGAAGAGGAAAGUGGAAUUCCAUGUGUAGAGGUGAAAUGCGCAGAGAUAUGGAGGAACACCAGUGGCGAAGGCGACUUUCUGGUCUGUAACUGACGCUGAUGUGCGAAAGCGUGGGGAUCAAACAGG
This 429-nucleotide ribosomal RNA is filed under the name Acidobacteriota bacterium. RNAcentral's name for it is "Acidobacteria bacterium partial 16S ribosomal RNA". It matches the Rfam family "Bacterial small subunit ribosomal RNA", at positions 355 to 776 of the family's 1533-position model. Lineage: Bacteria; Pseudomonadati; Acidobacteriota. The record is from RNAcentral.